This 443-nucleotide ribosomal RNA is filed under the name uncultured bacterium. RNAcentral describes it as "partial 16S ribosomal RNA". It matches the Rfam family "Bacterial small subunit ribosomal RNA", at positions 338 to 795 of the family's 1533-position model. The record is from RNAcentral.
CCUACGUGAGGCAGCAGUGGGGAAUAUUGCACAAUGGGGGGAACCCUGCUGCAGCAAUGCCGCGUGAAGGAUGAAGGUUUUCGGAUUGUAAACUUCUUUUGUACGGGACGAAGAAAGUGACGGUACCGUAAGACUAAGCCACGGCUAACUACGUGCCAGCCGCCGCGGUAAUCCGUCGGUGGCAAGCGUUAUCCGGAUUUACUGGGUGUAAAGGGCGAGUAGGCGGGAUUGCAAGUCAGAUGUGAAAACUAUGGGCUCAACCGAUAGAGUGCAUUUGAAACUGCAGUUCUUGAGUGAUGGGGAGGCAGGCGGAAUUCCUGGUGUAGCGGUGGAAUGCGUAGAUAUCGGGAGGAACACCAGUGGCGAAGGCGGCCUGCUGAACAUUAACUGACGCUGAGGCGCGAAAGCGUGGGGAGCAAACAGGAUUAGAUACCCCAGUAGUC